CCUACGGGUGGCAGCAGUGAGGAAUAUUGGUCAAUGGGCGAGAGCCUGAACCAGCCAAGUCGCGUGAGGGAGUACUGCCCUAUGGGUUGUAAACCUCUUUUGUCGGGGAGCAAAAGCCGGACGUGUCCGGCUGUGAGAGUUCCCGAAGAAAAAGCAUCGGCUAACUCCGUGCCAGCAGCCGCGGUAAUACGGAGGAUGCGAGGGUUAACCGGAUUUAUUGGGUUUAAAGGGUGCGAAGGCGGAGUUUUAAGUCAGGGGGAAAAUCGGGGGGCUAAACCCCAUCCAGCCGUUGAAACGGGGGAGCUAGGGUGUGGGAGAGGUAUGGGGAAUGGGUGGUGUGGCGGGGAAAUGCAUAGAUAUCACGCAGAACCCCGAUUGCGAGGGCAGCAUACCGGUGCACAACUGACGGUCAGGCACGAAAGCGUGGGUAUCGAACAGGAUUAGAUACCCCUGUGUC
RNAcentral lists this ribosomal RNA (457 nucleotides) under uncultured bacterium. RNAcentral describes it as "partial 16S ribosomal RNA". It matches the Rfam family "Bacterial small subunit ribosomal RNA", at positions 338 to 795 of the family's 1533-position model. The record is from RNAcentral.